GACGAACGCUGGCGGCGUGCCUAAUACAUGCAAGUUGAGCGCUGAAGGUUGGUACUUGUACCAACUGGAUGAGCAGCGAACGGGUGAGUAACGCGUGGGGAAUCUGCCUUUGAGCGGGGGACAACAUUUGGAAACGAAUGCUAAUACCGCAUAAAAACUUUAAACACAAGUUUUAAGUUUGAAAGAUGCAAUUGCAUCACUCAAAGAUGAUCCCGCGUUGUAUUAGCUAGUUGGUGAGGUAAAGGCUCACCAAGGCGAUGAUACAUAGCCGACCUGAGAGGGUGAUCGGCCACAUUGGGACUGAGACACGGCCCAAACUCCUACGGGAGGCAGCAGUAGGGAAUCUUCGGCAAUGGACGAAAGUCUGACCGAGCAACGCCGCGUGAGUGAAGAAGGUUUUCGGAUCGUAAAACUCUGUUGGUAGAGAAGAACAUUGGUGAGAGUGGAAAGCUCAUCAAGUGACGGUAACUACCCAGAAAGGGACGGCUAACUACGUG
This 497-nucleotide ribosomal RNA is filed under the name uncultured bacterium. RNAcentral describes it as "partial 16S ribosomal RNA". It matches the Rfam family "Bacterial small subunit ribosomal RNA", at positions 28 to 507 of the family's 1533-position model. The record is from RNAcentral.